UUACGGCGACAUCACGUUGAAACGCCCGUUCCCUUACGAUCACCAAGGUUAAGCAACGUCGAACCUGGUCAGUACCUAGAUGGGUGACUGCUUGGGCAUACCAGGUGCUAUAA
Acanthosepion pharaonis is the source of this 113-nucleotide non-coding RNA. NCBI's taxonomy places the organism in Eukaryota, Metazoa, Mollusca, Cephalopoda, Sepiida, Sepiidae. The record is from the annotation of a GenBank genome assembly.